UACAGAGGUCUCAAGCGUUGUUCGGAUUCAUUGGGCGUAAAGGGCGCGUAGGUGGCGAGGUAAGUCGGAUGUGAAAUCUCAGGGCUCAACCCUGAAACUGCAUUCGAUACUGCCUUGCUCGAGGACUGGAGAGGAGAUUGGAAUUCACGGUGUAGCAGUGAAAUGCGUAGAUAUCGUGAGGAAGACCAGUGGCGAAGGCGGAUCUCUGGACAGUUCCUGACACUGAGGCACGAAGGCCAGGGGAGCAAACGGG
RNAcentral lists this ribosomal RNA (253 nucleotides) under uncultured bacterium. Its description in RNAcentral is "partial 16S ribosomal RNA". It matches the Rfam family "Bacterial small subunit ribosomal RNA", at positions 524 to 776 of the family's 1533-position model. The record is from RNAcentral.